UGCAUAUCCAAAAAGCGGAGGAAAAGAAACCAACAGGGAUUGCCUCAGUAACGGCGAGUGAAGCGGCAAAAGCUCAAAUUUGAAAUCUAGCACCUUCGGUGUUUGAGUUGUAAUUUGAAGAUGGUAACCUUGGGUUUGGCUCUUGUCUAUGUUCCUUGGAACAGGACGUCAUAGAGGGUGAGAAUCCCGUCUGAUGAGAUGCCCAUUCCUAUGUAAGGUGCUAUCGAAGAGUCGAGUUGUUUGGGAAUGCAGCUCUAAGUGGGUGGUAAAUUCCAUCUAAAGCUAAAUAUUGGCGAGAGACCGAUAGCGAACAAGUACAGUGAUGGAAAGAUGAAAAGAACUUUGAAAAGAGAGUGAAAAAGUACGUGAAAUUGUUGAAAGGGAAGGGCAUUAGAUCAGACUUGGUGUUUUACGAUUAUCUUCUCUUCUUGAGUUGUGCACUCGUAUUUCACUGGGCCAGCAUCGAUUCGGAUGGCAAGAUAAUGGCAGUUGAAUGUGGCUUCACUUCGGUGGAGUGUUAUAGCUUCUGCUGAUAUUGCCUGUCUGGAUCGAGGGCUGCGUCUUUUGACUAGGAUGCUGGCGUAAUGAUCUAAUGCCGCCCGUCUUGAACCCACGGACCA
Molecule: ribosomal RNA, 620 nt
Filed under: Hansenula anomala
Lineage: Eukaryota; Fungi; Ascomycota; Saccharomycetes; Phaffomycetales; Wickerhamomycetaceae
Description: Wickerhamomyces anomalus partial large subunit ribosomal RNA
Rfam family: Eukaryotic large subunit ribosomal RNA
Source: RNAcentral